This 301-nucleotide ribosomal RNA is filed under the name uncultured bacterium. RNAcentral describes it as "partial 16S ribosomal RNA". It matches the Rfam family "Bacterial small subunit ribosomal RNA", at positions 509 to 808 of the family's 1533-position model. The record is from RNAcentral.
CAGUAGCCACGGUAAUACGUAGGUGGCAAGCGUUGUCCGGAAUUAUUGGGCGUAAAGGGCUCGCAGGCGGUUUCUUAAGUCUGAUGUGAAAGCCCCCGGCUCAACCGGGGAGGGUCAUUGGAAACUGGGAAACUUGAGUGCAGAAGAGGAGAGUGGAAUUCCACGUGUAGCGGUGAAAUGCGUAGAGAUGUGGAGGAACACCAGUGGCGAAGGCGACUCUCUGGUCUGUAACUGACGCUGAGGAGCGAAAGCGUGGGGAGCGAACAGGAUUAGAUACCGUGUAGUCCCUGUCUCUUAUACA